UGAGGCCAAUGGCGGCUCCACCAUCCUGUGGCUAUGAUUCCUGAACUUGUGGUCUCCUCAGUUGAUGAGGUGAAGAAAGAAAGCCUGGAGAAUUAUGCACGAGCUUCUCACUGUCUCAGCCCACAAGUAACACACCUCUUUCCCUCACAGCCCACACUGGCUGGAACCAAUCACAUAGCCCUGCCUAACUGCAAGGGAGGCCAGAAAGUGCAACACUUUCUCAUGGUCACGCCAGGGCAUGACAGAGUCGUGGGAAUCGCUGGAACGUUUCUAGAGAAGCUCUGCGUCAGAUGAAGAAGAGACAGGAGGCCCUCCAAGCAAAGGAACCACUCAUGUCAAGACAUGGGGCAAAAAGAGAGGAUGUAUUUGGAGAACAGAGAGUAACCGAAGGCUAUCAUUCAAUCAGUGAUAGUCUUCAUGGAGGCUGAGACUUCAACCACAGGACCUGGGUGGUGAUCACCACAAAAUUUCUUCCUGAACGUUCUUCUCCAACAACUUCUCACAUUCAGUUAUUCAUUCAACAAACAUUGAGCAACAACCUAAUCUUCUGGGCUCUGGAGACCGAGUUAAAAAGGAGACAGCAGGCCCCUGCCCCCGCUUCCCGACAGGUCACCACAUCUUGAGUGCUAAGACUGUCAUCACAGGGUGAGGAGGGGAAAUGAGCUCAGAGGGGCAGAACCUUCUGAAAGGGCAGAAUGGUUCAAGCAUCCCGCCAAGGUCAGAAGGCGCUGGAUCCAGGGCAAAAAUGAAGACAUAAGGGACCUUAGGUGACAAGGAAGAAGCUCCCAGGCAGCAUGUGGGAUGGACCCAAGGAGAACGUCAGAGAGAAAGAGUUCAGUCUGGUGUCUCCUGAAGCAGGUGGCAGCAUGCUGACGAAGGAGGGUGGGGUACGCAAGGAACUGGUUGCCUCUAGGACUCGCGACAAGACCUUACGGAGAAAGAAGUCAGCCAAGGAAAAACGACUGGAGUGUGGAAGAGUCUGGAAGAGCUGGACCAGGUCCACAUGGUCCGGUCAGUUCUCGAAAAAUCGAGACCCUGUGUGGUGAGGGUGAGCCAUCUUAGCAGGAAGAAAAGUUUGUCAAACCAAGUGAAUCCUCUUGCCGAACCACAUGGAGAACAUAUUUUGGAGAGAGAUUACUGUGUGAUUAAGGGAAUUUUGACACCAUAAUCAUCUAGGGUGGGGGUAUAUUUUAUUUGCCUAUGGCCAGACAUUUAGGAAGGCAAACUGGAGCAAGAGGAAAAGCAGGAAAAAAUAGACUGAUAACCAAAAUGUAAAAUAUUUCUGUGUUGAUCAUCAGGGAAGUGAAUAACACAGGCCACAAAGACCCCUUUUUUUCCCACAGAACUUUUCAACAGAUGGUUAUACUAGUUGUUUCAGAAUUAAUACCAAGGAUUGAGGGUUGGAGGCAUGCAACUUAGAAGCAGUGCUGGUGUGAAAGUGAUAAGGUUUUUGGCUCCAAGUAACACCUCCCAAUUUGUACAGCAACCACAAUAGAAAUGUGCUUCAGGUUAAAAUUAAGCUCGGCAGGCUCGACGUAAAUGUGCAGACAAAGCAAAGCAGGAAGCCUCCCACACUAAAAAGGGAAGAUAAGAAUCACAGAAGCUGGGAUGGUUUUUAUUGAAGGGCAUUUCAAAGCAAAUACAGACAUCUACAGCAUAUUUGUAAAUCCUCCGUAUGUGUAUGGAAACACACACCUUCACACAUCAAAACUGGAUUUGUUCCUGAGUAACAAAACGUCCUAAGAACAAAAUGAAAGAAAACCAAAUAGCAGAAAAAUACUUCCAAUGUAUAUACCACAAAGGAUUAUUUAUCAACUCAACACACCAAGAGUUAAGAAAAUAAUGCAACAGGAACAAAGGGCAAAGGAUAUGUACUGGGAAGACCACAGAGAAAGAAAAUGCAAAUGGCUAAUAAUAUAAAAUAUUUCCUAGGUUCAAUAGUAAUCAGGGAAAGACAAAAUUACACUUUUGACCUCUUAGACUGGCAGUGACAAAGAUUAUUUGAGUGACCAAGCUUUAGUCAGGCUCCUGGAUCUUCUAGGCCCAUCUGGGCACUUCCUCGUAAAAUACAGUUUUAACAAAAGCCCUGCUAAAUUGGUUUACCGAGAACUCCCACCCUCAAUCGAGUUCCUUAGCCCUUCACCUUUCCUCAGGUGAGGGCUGAUCAUCCUGUCCUGUCUUCAGCAAGACUGCUCUAACGCUGACGUUUCCUUUUAGUAAUUUUCCAUCCACUGACACCCACUUGUAAUUUAUAGCCAAGGAGCAAGAUACACUGCUCCUUGGCUAUAAGUUAUUUUCCCUGUUACAUUCAGAGUUGAGCCCAAUCCCACUCCCCGACUACAAAAUCGAUAGCAGUGGUCCCUAUACCUAUUGCAAUGGUCCUAAAUAAAACCUGCCUUACCGUGCUUGAACA
This 2413-nucleotide long non-coding RNA is filed under the name Homo sapiens (human). Its description in RNAcentral is "HSALNT0114604". The record is from RNAcentral. Lineage: Eukaryota; Metazoa; Chordata; Mammalia; Primates; Hominidae.